AAUAUGAAAUUUUUUAAAUUAAGAAUUAGAUUUAAAUUUUUUUUAAGAGGAAUCAAAACUCUGUAAGCUACCACAUUGACAUUAGAAAACCCCACUUUUACAAACCUCAAGCCAUUUUCCACACUUUCAUUCUCUCUCUAGAAAAAUCAAACUCCCAUCCUCUGCAUUCUCUCUAAUCUCAAGCUUCAUUGCUCCAGAAAAUCUUCAAUUGGAUGGCACCUCAGUGAUUGCGACUCAAAGAGCUCCAUUUAAAACCGAUUAGUUUUCCCUUUCUCUGUCGGUCUGUAGGUUUUUCUAGAAAUUCCGUGAAGUGCAAGCUUGAACCAAAUUUAGUUGGGCUAUAUUGUGAAAUUCCCAGAGGUUUCAGAGGCCCCUUUGGAGCAAAUACUAGAUGGCCCAGAUAUCCCAUACACUGCUGAUGCUGCAGAGUAGUGUAGCUUAGUUAUUACCUAUUGUAUAUAACUUAGUCUUCUUUCCUUCUCUUCUUUUUGAAAGACUCUAUAACAAUAUGUGAAGCUUUUAAUUCUCUUUUAUUUUGGAUGACUGUAUCUUAUAAUACUUCAUCAUACUUCUACUCUUAA
Vigna radiata var. radiata (mung bean) is the source of this 581-nucleotide long non-coding RNA. RefSeq lists it as uncharacterized. The record is from RefSeq and is a predicted model, not a curated record. NCBI's taxonomy places the organism in Eukaryota, Viridiplantae, Streptophyta, Magnoliopsida, Fabales, Fabaceae. The transcript is spliced from 3 exons.